GUCCUUGUCAUUCAUUUACAUUAGCUUUCACUGCACAAACUCGUGAAGCUCGUGUUCAGCAGUGUGACCCUUUGUAAAAUCUUCGAUGUGGUGACAUCUGGUUCCAUAUCAGCAGCCCAAGGAAUUUAUGUCACCUUGUUGCUCUCAUUAAUUCAGUGGGGACACCAGCCAUACAUCUGACAUUAGUCAACAAGGUAAGUUCCUUGCCACUUUUACAACGUUGUUGAGCACAGAAAAUUCAUGUUAAACAAUGUAUUGCCAUCUUUAGUUUAUCACGCAUGUGCACGCGUGUACACACACACACACACACACACACACACACACACACACACACACACACACACACACCACAUGCACACUUAACAUUUUGCAGCCAGGUUUAGUAUGGUUUCGCACUUUGUUUUUGAGCAUCUUUCAUACAGUUGCAUUACAUAAAGCUUCCAUAGUUUCCUUUCCACAUACUAUACACAGUGCAUAAAAAAAUACAAAUACAAUUAUAAAAUACACUUAUCCUGUUCAUUUGCUGGCAUGCCAUUAUUGUCACUUAUAUACAUUAUGGUCUGUAACAUAUUCUCUCCCCUUUUUAUAUAUAUUUUCAAUGCUCAUCGUUUUGUUUUAGUACAUAUUGUUAAAUUACAAUUUUGUAACAUUAUUAAAUUCCAGUUUUAUGAGUACACAUUUUACUCUCAUUUAGUUGUACAUUCUUCAUAUAACAUUCAAACCAUAAUAGAGUCUGUUUUCAUUUAUGGCAUACAUUGAUAUACAUUUCAUUUCAAUUUACAGUGACUUCCUGUCAGAGGAAAUUUACAGUGACUGCUUGUCUGAGCAUAUUUACCAAUUCCAAAGAAUUAAAGAUGUAAACAACAGUCGCUACAGCAAUGGCACUGUGGCAGCAGUGGCAGGGAAGUAACUGCUUCAUGUCGGAUGUGUGUUUGAGCUUUGAAGUGCGGAAGCAGAUAAUUAAGUGGUACUGGAAGUUUGAGAAUGUAGCUGCGGUUCGAAGACGGUGGAGAAGUGAGUAUGGUACAGAACCACUUUCAAGGAUAACAAUUACACGUCUACGAGACAAAUUCAAAAUUCAUGGAACAGUGUGUGAUGUACAUAAAGGUUGAUCAGGGCAACCUCGUACAGCUACAAGUGAUGAUUCCACAACUGCGGUCUCAGAACUGUUUCAGCGUUCACCUCAAAAAUCUUCACGGCAAGCAUUACAUGGGAGUAAUGUAAGUGCUAGUAGUGUGCUACACAUUCUGAAGAAAGGCAAGUUUUGUGUGUACGUUCCAAGGGUGGUGCAACAGCUAAGUGGCGACGAUCCAGAUUGAAGGUUAGAAUUUUGUGAAUGGGUUCAGGAGAUGAUGAGGUGUGCGCAGAAAUCUCAUUGGACACUUUGGUACAAUGUACGGAAUCAGUGGUAACUCAUACUCAGAAGUGUAUUGAUUAUUGAUGCUGUAUGUCACCAGUUUGUUCAUUAAUCACAUUUGCAAAGUA
Long non-coding RNA from Schistocerca gregaria, 1485 nucleotides. RefSeq lists it as uncharacterized. The transcript is spliced from 2 exons. The record is from RefSeq and is a predicted model, not a curated record. Lineage: Eukaryota; Metazoa; Arthropoda; Insecta; Orthoptera; Acrididae.